UCAAGAAUCCACCAAUAUACAAGUUCCUGUUGGAAUUAAUCCCAUAAAAAAACAACAUUCCCGGCUUACUUAACAUAGUAAGGAAGGUCAAGAACAUAGAGCAAAAAGUAAGCCCAAGUCACACCGGAGAUCCCA
This is a long non-coding RNA of Salvia splendens (bonfire salvia), 135 nucleotides long. RefSeq lists it as uncharacterized. The transcript is spliced from 2 exons. The record is from RefSeq and is a predicted model, not a curated record. NCBI's taxonomy places the organism in Eukaryota, Viridiplantae, Streptophyta, Magnoliopsida, Lamiales, Lamiaceae.